Sesamum indicum (sesame) is the source of this 2274-nucleotide long non-coding RNA. RefSeq lists it as uncharacterized. The record is from RefSeq and is a predicted model, not a curated record. NCBI's taxonomy places the organism in Eukaryota, Viridiplantae, Streptophyta, Magnoliopsida, Lamiales, Pedaliaceae.
CCCACACCCACCUACCUUACCCCUUUUCUUUCUUCCCCACACUCACACAUAGAUAGAGUAAAUGAAGCCUAGCCUUUCAGAUCUUAGUGUGUGUUCAUGUUGCUUUUCUUCUUUUUCUUUUGAUUUUUGCGCUGGUUUGAUGUUCUUCCUUUGUAUUUUGAUUAGUCUGAAUUAUUUGCUUCUUGAUCAUCAUCAUCAUGUCCAUAUAUAUAUACAUAUAUAUAUAUAUAUAUAUCUUUCUCUUUCAGAGAUGCUAAUUUCCAGCAGUCAAUAUCAGAAUAUCAAGUAAUUGUUUUAAUCCUCUCUAGCUUUUCUGUAUGUAAAUUUUUUAUUUAUUUAUGGUGGAUUUAAUUUACCAGCCGAUCCACCAGCAAAAGAUAAGGUUAAUUGAUGCUGGAAUCUGGCCGAAUAAAUUUUCAAGCUUAUAAUUAUCGUUUCAACAGUAUCGGGUUGCUGCUUUCUUUAUUGUUUUUUUGGAAUAUUGAAAUGUGGCAAUGGGCAAAAAAAUUAAAAUAAAAAAAAAAGAAAAAGAAUAGGGUUGGUUUUUGUUUUCGCUUGUGUUGUCUGAAAAUGAGUUCCGACCCGAGGAGCUAGAUUCUUGUUUGCUACCGCCAUCAUCAAGUCAUUUUCUUCACUAUUUUGACCCACUGGUAAUAAGCCACGCACAUUGGCCUUUCUUCCUAGUAGUUUUUGAUAUUCUUUAGAUGAACAUAAAUUUCAGUGGUUUCGUGUUUGUCUUAAUUCAAACACCUCCACCCCACCCCCCACUCUCAAUUCUAUUUCACACACACACAACACACAGUUACAUCACUUUUCUGGGAUAUUUUUUCUCAAGAAAAUCCGAUGAAAGUGUUUUUGGGUUUUAAUUGAUUUCUUAGCAAAUCUUGGGGAUUUCUUGCAUGGAUCUAUAGAUAAACAACUAUGUAUAAAGUCGUUGGUUUCUGGUGUGGCAUCAUCAAGAUUCACAAACGAAGGCAUAUGGUUAUGGCGAGGUGAUGAUAUCAUGAAUCCCUCCUCUCUCUCUCUCUCUCUACACCAGAGCCUUUAGAUGGUGAGAAUCUUGAUGAUGCUGCAUCGGCAAUAAACGACUACCGAAGCAGUACAGAUGGACGGUCGCAGGUGAUCAAACAAGCCCAAAAAACCCUCGGUUCCGACAUGAUCAAUGGUCGGAUUUCUUGCACUGUGAAAACCGACACGAGUGACUACUGACGGAACUUCACCCUGCAGAUGAAACACUAACAGAUCUGCGAUUAUUCUAUCCUCUGCACAAGAAAAGGGAUUUUUUUUUUCUGAUUUAUUUCCACGGAAAUUUGGACAUAAUAUCAAGAAUUAAUUUACCAGCUUCCAGGGGAAACGUAAUUAAACUUGGAGAGCAGUGGAAGUGUGAAAGACCCGUUCUGGACAAAACUGAUGAGAAAAGGGAACAGAAGUCAAGAACAGAAGACCCGAUGCACUUGAUGGAAUCUAACGAGCAUGAUCAAAUCAAAAAUACUGGUCAGGACAUUGCUCAACUAAUUCUUGCAGCUCCACCGACAUAUUAGCAAUGAGUUACUCGGAUUCGGACAUUUCUUGUUCACCCAAGUUGAUCAAUCUUGCCUUCGCUCUUGAUGAGGUUGUAAUCGAUCCCGUCAAAAAGUCGAGCUCUCUCUCUAUAAAACUGUUUUUUGUCACCUAAUAAUAUACGUGCUUAGAAUCCAAUAUACAUCGAAUACAAGAUGAAGUAUGGAACUAAUCAAAAUCCAGGAUUAAUCAAAUUAAUGCUCAUUCGAAUUAUUUAAUUAUGUUCAUCAUGUAAUUAUGCCAGCAUUGUAUAAUCCUCGUACUGAGUCAUAGUUUAUUAAUUAAUAAUAGCAGGAUCAAGAGACACACAUACUAAUUGUCCUGUAAUAUAUAUUGUACGUAGAAUGUAAUGUGUAUAUAUAUAUGAUGCAGGCAUUUCCCUGUCUAACCCUUUUUCUUUUAUAUAUAUAUAUGAAAAAGUUUCCGUUUCAUUCGUACAUCACAUCAGAUCAUAACCCCACAGACCACUAACUUAUGGCUGAAGUAAGACAUGGUACAAAGUUGUUCACAGAUAUUGGACUAUAUAUCAUUUUGGAGCUACAAAAGACUUUUUUCCUACAUUUGUAAUAUUUAAAAAUACAGUUUUAAAAUUUGUGUUGAAUAUUAUAGAUCGCGGUCAAAUAGAUUGACGUAAUAUAUAGCCAGAGUAUUUUUUUUAUGAUUUUUAAUUAUAAUUAAUAUUUUGGCCAUACAUGCUAAAAUAAUAACCAAUAA